GGGUGGCUAGCUCAGUCGGUAGAGCAUGAGACUCUUAAUCUGAGAAGGAACAUACCUCAGCAUAAUAAAAGCCACCCA
RNAcentral lists this transfer RNA (78 nucleotides) under Bos taurus (domestic cattle). The record is from Rfam by way of RNAcentral. Lineage: Eukaryota; Metazoa; Chordata; Mammalia; Artiodactyla; Bovidae.